This 1854-nucleotide long non-coding RNA is filed under the name Homo sapiens (human). Its description in RNAcentral is "HSALNT0327345". The record is from RNAcentral. Lineage: Eukaryota; Metazoa; Chordata; Mammalia; Primates; Hominidae.
UCUGCGAUGCAGAAAGGGGUGCGGGUUGCAAAGGGAGUAGCCUCUGUUUUUUUGUUACUUAAGCAUGGGAAGUUGGAGUUUUCCUUUUGAUUCAUUUCUAGGAAGUCGGUGCAAACUGGCCCUGCCUCCAGACCCUAUUCUCCAGCAUGAAUUGCAUCUCAUCAAUGUCAUUUUCACUUUUGAUGAUGAAGGCUGAUUACCUUGUAGAGAGAGAAGUCAUAGGGAUGUUAUGUCCAUGGAGCGUGGCCUUAAGUGGACCUAUUUCUUGGGGUCUCCAGAUCUGUUUGGAACUUCAAAAUUAUUCAAGAAAAGGUGUCUCAUCAGCAGAAGACUGAACAGUUUUACCUAAUGGUAUCUUGAGUAGAAAUGUAACCUAGAAGAGUUUAUUGAAAAUCCUCCUGGCUGAUGCUUAUUUCUUGGAAUCCUGAGUCUUACACUUGCUACCUAAUAAAAAGAAGGAAGAUUCUUCUCAGCAAGGUGAGAAAACAGGCUGAGAGAAGUUGGAAGAAACACAGGAGCAGGGAUCCCACAUUAGACAGUCUGAUUCCAGAGAUCAGGACCUUGGCUGCAACACUAUAUGGGCUCUGGGAAAUCCAAGAGGCCUGUUUUCACCUGCACAGCAUUUCUACCUGCCCAUGAAAGGCAGACUUACGCACUUUGAUGUCAAAGACCAACCAGAAAGCCAAUAAGAAGUGAGAAAUCCUGUCUCCGUAGCCAAAAUCUCAUAUAAUUCCUCCCCAGCAAUACAGAAGUCUCUCUGUUGCUACCUAGAGUAAAAAUGUCAAUACACAUCAUGUAUUAAAAUUCACCUGUAUUUUCUCAACACCUUUUCGAUAUCUUUCCAAAUUGCUUUAGUAAUCUCUGGCAUCAAGAACUGGUAAGAGUAUGUGGCAUUUUCCUUCCUGUUUGAGUAACACCUAUUAAGAGAGGUGGCAAUUAAAAUCAAAUUGUAAUUUUUAAACCUUAAGGGAAGCUAUUGCAGUAUUGCUAAGAACAUUCAGUUACCGGUAUGUUAGCUAACACCUACACCCGCUGCGAUUAGCGAUGAAACAAACUUCUACGGACCUUAAAAAACCAAACGUCUCCUUUAAAAUAAUCAUCCUAUGAGUAAACAGUCCUGUUCACACAUGUAUAUGAGAUGUCAUCCUUUCUUUGCCGUUACAGCGCUCCGCCUUGCCAAUGCUGCUGAGCACUGACUCACUCACAGGGCAUUUGGAAGGUGGGCGAUUUGUUCCUGCAGCAUCAUUGCACUCCAAAUGUGCUGAGAAUGGAUGUAGCCUCCAAUGCUGCCGUGCCAGCAGCAGCUUAGAUCAGAGGGAUCAGCAGAGGCUAUUGUCCAUUCCUCAGCAAUGCACUUGACCUUGAGAGCUAUAUAGAAUGGAAGGAAACCCACUAAAGCCAAAUUCAUGUCCUAAGAUUUAUAUCCUUUUUAGGGAUCCCACCCCUGGAACGUAAUUCAGGUCCAAAUCCUCUUCUUCUCCUUUCCAACUGCCACUGCCUUAGAGUAGUGGACUUAUCUCCACCUGCACAUUUUAGAGUCACUUGGGGCAAGGCAGGGGGCAGACGUUAAAACAUACCAGUGUCAAGGUACCAUCCCAGAGACUCUAAAUUAAUUAGUCUGUGUUGUGCCUGAAAUGAGUACUUUUUAAUACCUCCCUAGGUAUUUCUAAAGUACAGCUAGGACUGGAAACCACUGGAGUCCAGCACAAGCCUUUCUCAUUUCUUUCCUGGUUUAUGGCAAAUGCCUCCUGAAUGCCCUUCAUCUUUUGUGCCUGAGGCUAAUCACCUUUAAUGUGUUAUAAUGAUUGAAUUAUUUUUGUAUUAAUCCAUGUUUGAUGUAGAAAAAUGAGAAAA